Long non-coding RNA from Lytechinus pictus (painted urchin), 2164 nucleotides. RefSeq lists it as uncharacterized. The record is from RefSeq and is a predicted model, not a curated record. The transcript has 5 exons. NCBI's taxonomy places the organism in Eukaryota, Metazoa, Echinodermata, Echinoidea, Temnopleuroida, Toxopneustidae.
GUCAUGGAAGACUUUGUGAAAUCAGUUGCCAAUUCCGUCUACACAAAGAGCUCAGAGGAUGUCCAAUUUGUUGGGGACAGAAUCAACGAAGGAACAAAACGUGCGACUCUUGUAUACAGAAGCCAUCUCAAUAUUAUACAGACAUAAAGAUCAAUUUGAUACACACCAUGAUGGGGCGUUGACCUGCAGUCUGAACACGAGGCCUUCUUGGUUUGUCACAGUGGGAACAUCCAUGUCUUUGUAGUGGACUACCCCAAGGAUAUCAAACCCUUUCUAUGCUAGGCUGAAUAGUGAAGACAAAAAUGGCAGCAGCUGUAGAUCUGUUUGUUCCGAGAGUAGGCGAGUUGAUCAGUGGUAGCUUGAGAGAGGAACGUCUUGAUGAUUCCAGCAUAGAAUAAAGCACCUGGGACUUCAGGAUUCUAAUUACCAAUGGUAUCUGGAUUUAAGACGCUUUGGAACAGUUCCCCACGGUGGCUUUGGACUUGGGUAUGAGUGCCUGCUAGGGUACUUACUUGGUGUGGACCACAUACAAGAUGUCAUUCCCUUCCCAUGAUUCCCUGGCUCCUGCCCUCUCUGAUGGUAGCUCCGCACAGCUGUCAAACUUCUUUAUGGGGACGUCUUUCGAUCGUGGUGUAAUGGUGCUGAUUUUACCCAACUGAUAAGAAAGGAUGAUGAAUGUCUGCUAGCAACCAGAGGACAGAUGGCUUUGCAUCCUUGCAGAGGGACCUGGACAUGAGGAUCAAGGAAACCAGGAAGGGGGGGGUGUUUCACAAAGAUUUAAGUGUGAUUUAUGGGGUGUUGCAAGAAACUUGCAGUUGAUCGCAAGAUAGUUUUUGGACCACAAAUCAAUGGAAAGUUACCCUUUUCAUUGCAAUUUUGCAAUGAUUGCAAAUAUUUCCCUGCAACACCCCCUAAGAGUCGCACUUAAAUGUCAGUUGUGCACUUUAUGUGCACUACCGUGUGCUAGCGUUUAAGCAUGACUCCAAGUCACUCUUAUCUUUUGUGAAUCGCCCAUCAGGACCUAGGCCUCGCAUCAAACACAGGAAUCUGUGUUACAAAGAUCACUGUCCUACCAUUGCGCGCUACCAUUGGGAAUGUUUCUUGGAACAAAUAGUUAUUUUCACUAAUUCUCUCUAAGCAAAUCAGAUACAGGGAAUAUGGUAGCUUAUAACAGGGGACCGUUUCAUCAAGAUUUUUGUCCGACAAGUUGUCAGAUCUGAAAUCUUUCCUUGAAUUUGAUUGGCUGAGAAGCAGUGUUACUGUGGUAGCUGUCGGAUAAAACAGGACUUGUCAGAUAAAACGUCCGAUAAGUCCUUUCAUGAAAUGCUCCCCAGAAGUCAGUAAAGUCCAAGCGCACACUAUGCGAUCCGAUACAACACAUUUUUUUAAUGAAUCGCAUUUUGCAUUAAAUAUGAGAGUGCCAAGGAGUAAAAGUAUUUUAUUUGAAGUCAGGCAUGAAUGUUUUAGGGAUAAUAAAGUUAUCAUUUUGCUUUGCGGCAUGCUCUGUGGUCGGAGUAAUGUCUAAAUUGGCUUCAAGUCGCAUUCAAUUACAAUAGUCAGACUUUACACGACUUUACAAUACAUAGAAAGAUAUUUAUUAAAAAAUCUAACUAAAAAAAACAAUGAUUUGGGGGCAUUUCAUGUGAAGGCCUCCAAAUGCAGCCUUUUUCAUAAAAAUCCCUGAAAUCUUGUGUAAAGUGAAUGGGUGCGUAGACAUGUGGCUCCAUUGUUUUGUUUAAUCUGAAAAUGACUUGCCGAUGUUUUUUCCAAGAAAAUCGUAUAUUUCUCUCAAAUUCUCAUGAGAUUUCAACUGUAAAUUUACUUGAAAAUAAAGAAAAAUCAUGAUUAAUAUUAAUAAAAAAAUGUUUAGGUGCGCAGCGAUGGUUCCCCCCCCCCCCCCCCCCCUCUCAAUCAAAAGUGAAUGUAGUCCAACUACUUCAGAAUCUGCAUCAUGCAUUCUGUGGAAAAACAAAAGGUCUUUGCCUGCAGACUACUAAAGGCUUUGAAGAAGUUAGUGCAAUAUUAUACAAAUAAUGCAUGGCUCAGUGCAUUGGGUCAGCAUGCGAUAACACAUUGUCUGGAAACCAAUACAUUUAUGUCAAUGGGUCAUCGACAUCAUUGCCCUUUUGUGACCUUGGAUUAUCACAGUUUUUAAGGGUAAAUG